GACGAACGCUGGCGGCGUGCCUAAUACAUGCAAGUAGAACGCUGAAGGAGGAGCUUGCUUCUCUGGAUGAGUUGCGAACGGGUGAGUAACGCGUAGGUAACCUGCCUGGUAGCGGGGGAUAACUAUUGGAAACGAUAGCUAAUACCGCAUAAGAGUAGAUGUUGCAUGACAUUUGCUUAAAAGGUGCAAUUGCAUCACUACCAGAUGGACCUGCGUUGUAUUAGCUAGUUGGUGGGGUAACGGCUCACCAAGGCGACGAUACAUAGCCGACCUGAGAGGGUGAUCGGCCACACUGGGACUGAGACACGGCCCAGACUCCUACGGGAGGCAGCAGUAGGGAAUCUUCGGCAAUGGACGGAAGUCUGACCGAGCAACGCCGCGUGAGUGAAGAAGGUUUUCGGAUCGUAAAGCUCUGUUUUAAGAGAAGAACGAGUGUGAGAGUGGAAAGUUCACACUGUGACGGUAUCUUACCAGAAAGGGACGGCUAACUACGUG
This 495-nucleotide ribosomal RNA is filed under the name uncultured bacterium. Its description in RNAcentral is "partial 16S ribosomal RNA". It matches the Rfam family "Bacterial small subunit ribosomal RNA", at positions 28 to 507 of the family's 1533-position model. The record is from RNAcentral.